RNAcentral lists this ribosomal RNA (481 nucleotides) under uncultured bacterium. Its description in RNAcentral is "partial 16S ribosomal RNA". It matches the Rfam family "Bacterial small subunit ribosomal RNA", at positions 28 to 523 of the family's 1533-position model. The record is from RNAcentral.
GACGAACGCUGGCGGCGUGCUUAACACAUGCAAGUCGAGCGGUAAGGCUCCUUCGGGAGUACACGAGCGGCGAACGGGUGAGUAACACGUGAGCAAUCUGCCCUUCACACGGGGAUAACCCUCGGAAACGAGAGCUAAUACCCGAUACGACCACUUCAGGCAUCUGAUGGUGGUGGAAAGUUCCGGCGGUGAAGGAUGAGCUCGCGGCCUAUCAGCUUGUUGGUGGGGUAACGGCCCCCCAAGGCAAGGACGGGUAGCCGGCCUGAGAGGGUGACCGGCCACACUGGGACUGAGACACGGCCGAGACUCCUACGGGAGGCAGCAGUGGGGAAUAUUGGACAAUGGGCGAAAGCCUGAUCCAGCAACGCCGCGUGAGGGAUGACGGCCUUCGGGUUGUAAACCUCUUUCAGCAGGGACGAAGCGCAAGUGACGGUACCUGCAGAAGAAGCACCGGCCAACUACGUGCCAGCCGCCGCCGUAA